GGCUUAACACAUGCAAGUCGAGGGGUAACAUUGUAGCUUGCUACAGAUGACGACCGGCGCACGGGUGCGUAACGCGUAUAGAACCUACCUUUUACAGAGGAAUAGCCUUUAGAAAUGAAGAUUAAUGCCUUAUAGUAUUGAGACUCGGCAUCGAGACUUAAUUAAAGAUUUAUCGGUAAAAGAUGGCUAUGCGUCCUAUUAGUUAGAUGGUAAGGUAACGGCUUACCAUGACAUCGAUAGGUAGGGGUCCUGAGAGGGAGAUCCCCCACACUGGUACUGAGACACGGACCAGACUCCUACGGGAGGCAGCAG
Molecule: ribosomal RNA, 312 nt
Filed under: Chaetoceros dichaeta
Lineage: Eukaryota; Bacillariophyta; Thalassiosirophyceae; Chaetocerotales; Chaetocerotaceae
Description: partial Bacterial small subunit ribosomal RNA
Rfam family: Bacterial small subunit ribosomal RNA
Source: RNAcentral